Molecule: long non-coding RNA, 298 nt
Filed under: Musa acuminata (dwarf banana)
Lineage: Eukaryota; Viridiplantae; Streptophyta; Magnoliopsida; Zingiberales; Musaceae
Description: long non-coding RNA (MACU_LNC006119)
Source: RNAcentral
GCGCAUCUGUAUUCUUAAAAAGAGGAACUAAACAUAAACAAGUAUGAACGAAUUAAGGUAGAGUAAUCCUCACGUGCAAGAGACACUGGAUAUAUGUUCUAUAUUUAUUAGAUCCUGUUGAAAUCCAAGGGGUGUGGCCCUCAGUGGGUAGAAACGGUUGGGGUUGGUUGGAAAACUGACAACAGGAUCCGAAAGAAGUGUGUUAGAUACUCUAAAAGACACACUCAAAUGACCUCAUUAACCUCCAACUGUACCUAAAAUGACCAUGUCAAGAAAACCACUCGGCGGCCCUUCUCCC